GGUGGGUGCGCGCUAUAUGCAGUCGAGCGGUUGGUUCUACCUUGCUCUUAUGAAGUUAGCGGCGGACGGGUGAGUAACAAAUGUGUACCCUGCCGUGGGGACUGGCAUAACUCCGGGGAACCUGGGCUAAUACCGGAUCACAUUUUGAACCGCGGGGAUCGAAAUUGAACGGCGGCUUCGGCUGCCACUUAUGGAUGGACCCGCGUCGGGUUAGCUAGUUGGUGAGGUAACGGCUCACCUAGGCAACGAUGCAUAGCCAACCUGACAGGGUGAUCGGCCACACUGGGACUGAAACACGGCCCAGACUCCUACGGGAGGCAGCAGUACGGAAUCUUCCGCAAUGGACGAAAGUCUGACGGAGCAACGCCGCGUGAGUGAUGAAGGCUUUCGGGUCGUAAAACUCUGUUGUUAGGGAAGAACAAGUGCUAGUUGAAUAAGCUGGCACCUUGACGGUACCUAACCAGAAAGCCACGGCUAACUACGUGCCAGCAGCCGCGGUAAUACGUAGGUGGCAAGCGUUAUCCGGAAUUAUUGGGCGUAAAGCGCGCGCAGGUGGUUUCUUAAGUCUGAUGUGAAAGCCCACGGCUCAACCGUGGAGGGUCAUUGGAAACUGGGAGACUUGAGUGCAGAAGAGGAAAGUGGAAUUCCAUGUGUAGCGGUGAAAUGCGUAGAGAUAUGGAGGAACACCAGUGGCGAAGGCCACUUUCUGGUCUGUAACUGACACUGAGGCGCGAAAGCGUGGGGAGCAAACAGGAUAAA
Molecule: ribosomal RNA, 759 nt
Filed under: Bacillus sp. ylq2
Lineage: Bacteria; Bacillati; Bacillota; Bacilli; Caryophanales; Bacillaceae
Description: bacterial SSU rRNA
Rfam family: Bacterial small subunit ribosomal RNA
Source: RNAcentral